This 482-nucleotide ribosomal RNA is filed under the name uncultured bacterium. Its description in RNAcentral is "bacterial SSU rRNA". It matches the Rfam family "Bacterial small subunit ribosomal RNA", at positions 10 to 507 of the family's 1533-position model. The record is from RNAcentral.
AGUUGAUCAGUGGCUCAGGACAACGGCUGGCGGCACGCCUAACACAUGCAAGUCGAGCGGAGAUUGAGAGCUUGCUCUCAUGAUCAGCGGCGGACGGGUGAGUAACACGUGAGCAACCUGCCUUUCAGAGGGGGACAACAGUUGGAAACGACUGCUAAUACCGCAUAAUAUUGCCGGCCGGCAUCGGCUGGCAAUCAAAGGAGCAAUCCGCUGAAAGAUGGGCUCGCGUCUGAUUAGAUAGUUGGUGAGGUAACGGCCCACCAAGUCGACGAUCAGUAGCCGGACUGAGAGGUUGAUCGGCCACAUUGGGACUGAGACACGGCCCAGACUCCUACGGGAGGCAGCAGUGGGGGAUAUUGGACAAUGGGGGAAACCCUGAUCCAGCGAUGCCGCGUGAGGGAAGAAGGUUUUCGGAUUGUAAACCUCUGUGGACAGGGACGAUAAUGACGGUACCUGUUUAGAAAGCCACGGCUAACUACGUG